AUUGAACGCUGGCGGCAGGCCUAAAACAUGCAAGUCGAGCGGAUGAAGGGAGCUUGCUCCUGGAUUCAGCGGCGGACGGGUGAGUAAUGCCUAGGAAUCUGCCUGGUAGUGGGGGAUAACGUCCGGAAACGGGCGCUAAUACCGCAUACGUCCUGAGGGAGAAAGGGGGGGAUCUUCGGACCUCACGCUAUCAGAUGAGCCUAGGUCGGAUUAGCUAGUUGGUGGGGUAAAGGCCUACCAAGGCGACGAUCCGUAACUGGUCUGAGAGGAUGAUCAGUCACACUGGAACUGAGACACGGUCCAGACUCCUACGGGAGGCAGCAGUGGGGAAUAUUGGACAAUGGGCGAAAGCCUGAUCCAGCCAUGCCGCGUGUGUGAAGAAGGUCUUCGGAUUGUAAAGCACUUUAAGUUGGGAGGAAGGGCAGUAAGUUAAUACCUUGCUGUUUUGACGUUACCAACAGAAUAAGCACCGGCUAACUUCGUG
Molecule: ribosomal RNA, 484 nt
Filed under: uncultured bacterium
Lineage: Bacteria
Description: partial 16S ribosomal RNA
Rfam family: Bacterial small subunit ribosomal RNA
Source: RNAcentral